RNAcentral lists this ribosomal RNA (519 nucleotides) under uncultured bacterium. RNAcentral describes it as "bacterial SSU rRNA". It matches the Rfam family "Bacterial small subunit ribosomal RNA", at positions 777 to 1297 of the family's 1533-position model. The record is from RNAcentral.
AAUAGAUACCCAGGUAGUCCACGCCGUAAACGAUGGAUACUAGCUGUUCGUCCGCCUCGGCGGAUGAGUGGCUAAGCGAAAGUGAUAAGUAUCCCACCUGGGGAGUACGAACGCAAGUUUGAAACUCAAAGGAAUUGACGGGGGCCCGCACAAGCGGUGGAGCAUGUGGUUUAAUUCGAUGAUACGCGAGGAACCUUACCAAGGCUUAAAUGUAGAUUGACAGGACUGGAAACAGUUUUUUCUUCGGACAAUUUACAAGGUGCUGCAUGGUUGUCGUCAGCUCGUGCCGUGAGGUGUCAGGUUAAGUCCUAUAACGAGCGCAACCCCUGUUGUUAGUUGCCAGCGAGUGAUGUCGGGAACUCUAACAAGACUGCCAGUGUAAACUGUGAGGAAGGUGGGGAUGACGUCAAAUCAUCACGGCCCUUACGCCUUGGGCUACACACGUGCUACAAUGGCCGGUACAGAGAGCAGCCACUGCGCGAGCAGGAGCGAAUCUAUAAAACCCGGUCACAGUUCGGA